AAUUAGGUUUUUAACCUGCGGUUUACCGCGGGCAAUCGGUUUAUUUGGUUCUUAUACUAAAUAUUUUGAAUAAAUUUGAUAUCUUAAACUUAUAAAUAUAAAUUUCUAAUGAUUAGUGAAGAAUUGUAAUAUAUGAUUUGGAUAUUAUUGAUUAUUGAUUUCAUGAUUGAAUAUAGUGUUUUUAGGGAUGGAAUGUGAUCAUAUUUUGAUUUCAAAAACGAUAUAGAUUUUUUAUUUUUGUUGAACGGUUUAGAUUGAAGGGAAUUAAUUUUAUUGAACGGUUUAAAUUGAAUCGGAUCAUAUAAAGUUUAGGAGAUUGUUAAGACCAAAUUACCCUUAAUGAUUUUGAAUAGCAAAGAACAAAAUCCAAAAUUGAAAUCAAAAUUGAGGCCAAAUUAGACAAAAUUUCAAUUUGUACUUCCCUUUUAAUAAUAAAGGGAUUGCAACUGACUAAAUUUUGAAGUUCAAAUUUAAGU
RNAcentral lists this small RNA (476 nucleotides) under Arabidopsis thaliana (thale cress). RNAcentral's name for it is "ATSL255730". Lineage: Eukaryota; Viridiplantae; Streptophyta; Magnoliopsida; Brassicales; Brassicaceae. The record is from RNAcentral.